CAGCCUGUAUUAAAAUUAUUAUGUGAGAGCCAUGCUUGAUUCUGCUUUAACUGGUUCAGUAAGCUAUGUUCUAUGACAUGCUGUUCGUGGGUUACGCUUUAAUUAUUUACAUCAUUUUAGUGGGUAAAAGGCAACGGGAAGUGCAUUUCCCUGCAAGAGCGACUGCUGAAAAAUCCGUUCAAUUAUCUCUUUCACCACACGGCAGGCUAUAAUGUACGUUCCGAACACUGAGCAAAUUAAUAUUUUUUUCGGUUCCUAUACUUGAGUCAACUGGUGUUGAAUCCGAUGUAGCCUGUGCUUUCUCCCGUUAAUGGUGAUAAGAGGCAUUUCAGUAAGCGCGCGCCUCUCCCGCUGGUGCGGUAAACGCCCUAGGAGAUGUCAGAGAAGGGUGUUAUUUUUUCACGUCUCUAGAAGGUUCUAUUUAUAAUAGAUAGCUGCAAUAGCUCAGCUAUAACUGAGUCUGCUUGUACCCGACAGCCAUUUGGAGUCAUAUGACCCGCCGCUCAUACCUAAGGUAUCUCCAGUGACAAACCAAACUCCGCAGCAGCUUGGAGCGUCCUACCAGGACAAGCAUUCGCUUCGCGCAGCACCGCGCGGAACUCGUUCGGAGGAUGUACAACGCUGCGAAGUGCUUGCAAGAAGACCUUGGAUUUUAACUAAAACACGCACAGUGCGUGACUGAAGGGAAAGCUGAAAAUUCACACAGCGGAAUUGUUAAUAAACAGCGAUGCCAGAGGAAAAAGUCUUCCACCAGCAGGCUGUUCACAGCCCAUUGGAUCAGAAGCAGAGCAGCUCCAUCCUGUGCCAGAACUGCGGAAAGGCCUGCAAGGGGGAGGUGCUGCGCGUGCAGAACAAACACUUCCACAUCAAGUGCUUCGUCUGCAAAGUGUGCGGCUGUGAUCUGGCCCAGGGGGGGUUCUUCGUGCGCCAGGGGGAAUACAUCUGCACCCUGGACUACCAGAAGCUGUAUGGGACUCGCUGCUUCAGCUGCGAUGAGUUCAUUGAAGGGGAGGUGGUGUCGGCCCUGGGGAAGACCUACCACCCGCGCUGCUUCGUCUGCGCCGUCUGCAAACAGCCCUUCCCUGCCGGUGACCGGGUGACAUUCAACGGGAAGGAGUGCAUCUGCCAAAAGUGCACACAACCCCUGCCGUCCGACAGCCCCGCGCCAAUCCAGGCCGUCCGCAACUGCUGUGGCUGUGGUAAGGAGUUUAAGAACGAGCAGUCCCUCGUGGCCCUGGACAAGCACUGGCAUCUCGGCUGCUUCAAGUGCAAGAUCUGCAACAAAGUGCUCAACGCCGAGUACAUCAGCAAGGAUGGGAUCCCCUACUGCGAGGUGGAUUACCACGCCAUGUACGGGAUCCAGUGUGAGAACUGCAAGAAGUACAUCACUGGCAAGGUGCUGGAGGCUGGGGACAAGCACUACCACCCAACCUGCGCCCGCUGCGCCAAAUGUGACCAGAUGUUCGGAGAGGGAGAGGAGAUGUACCUGCAAGGCUCCUCCAUCUGGCACCCCCCCUGCAGACAGGCGGCGCGUGCGGAGGAGAAAAGCAAGAAACAGGUGCGGAUUCAGCUCCGAGAUGGUUCUUCACAGGUGACCAGGACCUCCUCCGAGAGCAUCACCUCUGCGCCAGCCUCCAGCGCCUCAGGGUCCCCUAGCAGAGUCAUUUACGCUAAACUGGGAGACGAGCUGCUGGACUACAAGGACCUGGCUGCCCUGCCGAAGAUAAAAGCCAUAUACAACAUCGACAGACCGGACAUGCUAACGUACUCCCCUUACAUCAGCUACCCUGCUGAAGACCGCAUUCAAGGAGAGUCGCCUCAGUUGCUUUCCCCUACUCCGACAGAGGGCGAUGGCGAGAAGUCGCCCCGUCAGAGACGGCCAUCCAGCCCCAGCUCCAACAGCUCCCUGGGGGGGUACGGGCGCUACACCCCGUCCCGUUCGCCCCAGAACUACAGCCGACCAGAGACGUAUGUGGUGGGUAGAUACUCCGGGACUGCCAGAAACUCCUCCUCCCUGCCCUUUUACACGUCCGCCAAACAUGGCGGCGCGGCGAGCGGGUGGCAGGCCGGGACCUCCGCCUCGCUGCCCGCGUACGGCAGCGCCAGCGGCAGAUACGCCGGGCAUGCUGGGAACGCGGGCUCCCUGCCGCUCAACAGCCUGGCCCUGCUCUACCACCACGGCUACAUCCCCUACUUCAAAGGGUACAAGCAGGACCCCCUCCUCGAAAAUAAGCCUAGGACAUCCCUGCAUCUCAGUUUGCCCUCUUACGGCAGUGAAAGUGGUCGGAGCACUCCCAGCUUAUCUGCGUACUCAGACAGCAAAUCUCCCUGCUCCACAUAUGUGCAAGCUCCCAGGCAUUUCCAUGUGCCAGACACUAAGAUCAAAGAUAAUAUCUAUAGAAAGCCCCCUAUCUACAGACAGCAUGCGUCAAGAGCAUCCUGGCAGGAGGGGGAUGAUGUGGACAGAAAGACGAGGACCAGUUGGAUGAUCCUAAAGGACGAGAUUGACGGACGCACGAGCGCGGAUUACGUGGACCCCAGGACAUCGACCCGCAGCCUGCCCAUCGAUACCCCUCAGCCCAAUUUCCCCUAUAAUAAAUCUGCAUCUCUGCCAGGCUAUGGAAGAAAUGGCAUAUACAAGGCCGCCGACCUCGCCGAGGACGACGCAGACCAGGACUCCAGCUGGGGGAUGAGAGAGUACAAGGUAAGGUGUGCUGGGGGCCUGGGGGUGGGGGUCCGGGAGGAGCAGUUCCAGGGUGACGGCUCGUGCCGCACGUUUUCCGCCCUCGCCGCACGUGAGGAGGCGCGGGGGACGCAGCGCAGUUCCGCGGCGCUGAGGUACGCUGUGUUCCGUCUGCCGUCCCCCAGGUGUACCCCUACGACGUGCUGGCCGUGACGCACAGGGUGAGAGUUAAGCUGCCCCGGGACGUGGACCGCACCAGGCUGGAGAGACACUUGUCCCCUGAAGACUUCCGUCAGGUUUUCGGGAUGACCAUCGAGCAGUUUGACCGCCUCGCUCUGUGGAAAAGAAACGACCUCAAGAAGAAAGCGCGACUUUUUUAAGCGCUGCGAAGCCAAACGGCGUCAGCGGCGGCCCUGCGAUGGCGUGCUUAGCAUUCAUCCCAUCUGAUUAAAAAACAAGGUAUAUGUGCACCAACACACUGCUUCACAGCUGCAGAGUCCCCUCAGCCUGGACAGGGAGGGAAGAACUGCCCCGAUCCACCUGGGGACCUUGGAACGUUCUCGCGACGGUUCCCUGACGCUGCGGCAACCGACGUGACCCGCAGUGUUAUGAGAAUGUCCGUUGUGAUUGACGGGGGAGGAGCUAUACUUGCAUGGCCGGUUACUUGGUCCCUUCUCUCUCUCUAUCUCUCCCUCACUCUUUCUUCUUUCUCUCUCCCUCCAUCUCUCUCUCUCUCUCUCUGUGUGAGGUCCAAAUCACCCCCUCCCCAACUCCACCCACUCACGCCCUGCUCCUCUCCUCAGCAGAAUAAAUACCGCAAGCUUUCUAAAUCCCCGUGUCGGCCUCUUAGCGACCGCGCCACACCCUCUUCUCUUUCUGCUUCUAACAUGACAUGUGCACAGUUUACGUUCUUUGAAACACUACAGUUUCAGUUUACAGCAGUGGAAGACCAAGUAUACUGCGAGAGCACUCUUGAGGCCAAAGAGGGACAGGAAACAACUCUUAUUUCUUUUCAUUUUUUUUUUUUGGUAAUAUAAUUAAAUAUGGUUAAAGCACCUUACUAUAUUGUUUUCUUUCUGUUUUCAACCAAGAUUAUUCCUCAAAUGGAGGAUGGUCACAAUCUUUGUUGAGUGCUCCUAGAUACUGUAUGUCAUAUGUGAGAUAUACAUAUAAAUCAAUGAGGCACAGAGAUGUGAGGGGCUAAAGACAGCCCCUAUAAGACCGUAAAUCUGAGAGGGAAACGACAGGUGAGAAUACCAUUAGAGCUGCUCAGCUAGCACCACAAAUCGCCACAGAACCAAGGUCUAAACUUGAGUGACUUUGCAGAGAAUGGUGUACAGGCCAUGUCUAUGUUGGUCUAAACCAACAAAAGAAAUUCCAAUUGAAGCCUAAAAUAAUUUUUUAUAUUGUAAUAUGAACUCUGAAAGCAUUAAUGACAUUACCAAAUCCGGACUAAAUUGUUUAUAUUUGUUAAAAAUGUAUUCCCAUGGACAUAUUUUCAGUCAUAACUACACAGACUUACAUAAGCACUUCAGUGCAUUUAUUUGGUUUUUAUUUAAUUUGAGUAAUAUAUAAAUGUGUUUUACUUUUGUUUAUCUUAUAGAGAAUAAACUGUAUAUAUUACAAAUGCAAUUGCCAAUCUAAUUAACCAUAAGCUACCGCAAAUAUCAAACAGUACGUUCACUGACACUGGAUAUGUGUAGUUUAAAAGGAGCCAUUUUGAUAUCUCACCUGUAACAUUCAUAUCACUGUUGAAGUACUACGUACACAACUAUGUGCUUAAAGUGAGGGCUGGUGAUAUCUUUGAGGUUCUCACCUUGGAGCUCUUCAAAAUGGAAGCCGAAUGAAGCUUCGUAAAGAUCAGCACGAUGUCAGCUCUGUAUCUGCUAUCAGCAAACAUGGUGGCUGAUCGGUAAUGAGCAGCAAAAACCAGCUUUGCUUUUAUCAUGUACACAUUUCUUUGGAACAGAUGACAAGCUUAACUUACUUUUUUUGUUUUGUGAGUCAAAUAUCUAUUUUUCUAUAGCAUCUAGAUAAAGGCUACUUUAUGUGACACGCAACUACUGUGUACAGUAAGAAAUUUACUGGUGAAAAAACAAUACGGUGAAUACUUUUUUAAUUCCUCACACGCUCACAUAGUUUUUGUGAUUAUUUCAUGUUUUUUUUUUGUUUGUUUGUUUGUUUUUUUUUUUUAAACAGAGCUAACAAUUUGGCUUCAUUUUAAAACAGCCUAUUAAAUAAGCUAAACCAUUUACAUAUGUCGAUUGCUUUUUUAAGUGCUUUAUUGGAUCUAAAAAGUCCACAGUGUAUUAGUGUCCCAGUGAAUGCCAGCAGCUGUUACUGAGGACCGAUUGAUUUUCAUAUGCUGGUCGAGGAGUCAUUGUCCAGUUAGAGACAGUAAUGUACAGCACUCCCCGUGUAAAUCAUAUAGUCGACUGGAGUGUCUGGGAUCGCAUUGCACCCUGGGAAUGUUACAGGGAUGUUGUGCUGUCUUUGUGGCAGGUGGAGAGAUUCAAGUUCCCCCCCUGACUGUGUUUUGGGGUUCACAGUUUUUCUGUUGAGAGUCCCUCUGUGGUUCUGGAGAGGGCAGUGAGGCGAUUAUGCCUGCAUUAUUUGAACAGCUGUGGAAACAGGAGUAUGUGAGGUAUUAGACUAAAGCUGCAGCCUUCGCCUAGCCAAGUCACUGCGCAAGCAGGCGCCUUUCAUCCCCUUAGCAAAACACACUUCCCUCCCAGAGAAAAUAGCUCUUUAAAAUAAGACCGUUUAUCUUUGAGACGAAGAAGAAAAAUAUAUAUGUAUGUAUGCCUUGCUUUUUAAUUAAAUUUUAUUUCCUAAUGUUUCAGAAAGAGAAUGAAUUCUCUACAGCAGUGCAAGGAUGUUACCUGGUGUUUUUUUAUUUUUGGGAAACUGAGAUUGUAAGUGUCCACAGUUUGUUUCUGGGUUAAAUAAUAGCAGAAGGCAAGUUCCUGUAAUGAAUGCUUUAAUGUUCAUAAAACGCAUUUACAGUUAUGUUAAAUAACUUGACAUAAAAAACUAUGAAUGACACACAGGCUAUGAAAUUGCUAGCAUUUAAUAAAUACUUUUUUGUACUUUGCCUUCAAAUAUCUACUUUUUUUGCCAAUCUGUGUUUUGAUAGAAAUGCGGAUAGAGUGAUGCUAAUUCUAAAGAAACUGUGUUGGCCUGCUAAUAACACAGAAAUGUUCUUUUGUGUGAAUAGAACAACCCAUUUAACCACCGGAUGCAACAUUUGGUCUAUGCUGUCAAUGUUGAUGUCCUUGUGGCAAAGCAGCAUGGAGAUAAGGGUCAAAUUCUGCUGUAACUAAAAGCCUUUUUGUUUUCUCAUGCUUUUAUUUUGCUUCGCUGGUUUGCAAGAAAUGCUGAUGUCUCUCAUCUUAAAAUAAAUGUUUGGUUCAGUA
Molecule: RNA transcript, 6099 nt
Organism: Anguilla rostrata (American eel)
Lineage: Eukaryota; Metazoa; Chordata; Actinopteri; Anguilliformes; Anguillidae
Gene: ablim2
Gene name: actin binding LIM protein family, member 2
Exons: 23
Source: RefSeq, a predicted model, not a curated record